Molecule: ribosomal RNA, 433 nt
Filed under: uncultured bacterium
Lineage: Bacteria
Description: partial 16S ribosomal RNA
Rfam family: Bacterial small subunit ribosomal RNA
Source: RNAcentral
AACGAACGCUGGCGGCAUGCCUAACACAUGCAAGUCGAACGAGACCUUCGGGUCUAGUGGCGCACGGGUGCGUAACGCGUGGGAACCUGCCCUUAGGUUCGGAAUAACUCCCCGAAAGGGGUGCUAAUACCGGAUAAUGUCUUCGGACCAAAGAUUUAUCGCCUUUGGAUGGGCCCGCGUUGGAUUAGCUAGUUGGUAGGGUAAAAGCCUACCAAGGCGACGAUCCAUAGCUGGUCUGAGAGGAUGCUCAGCCACACUGGGACUGAGACACGGCCCAGACUCCUACGGGAGGGAGCAGUGGGGAAUAUUGGACAAUGGGCGAAAGCCUGAUCCAGCAAUGCCGCGUGAGUGAUGAAGGCCUUAGGGUUGUAAAGCUCUUUUACCCGGGAUGAUAAUGACAGUACCGGGAGAAUAAGCACCGGCUAACUCCGUG